RNAcentral lists this ribosomal RNA (494 nucleotides) under uncultured bacterium. RNAcentral describes it as "bacterial SSU rRNA". It matches the Rfam family "Archaeal small subunit ribosomal RNA", at positions 102 to 600 of the family's 1478-position model. The record is from RNAcentral.
GGAUAACCUACCCUCAGGUGGGGGAUAACCCCGGGAAACUGGGGAUAAUACCCCAUAGACCAGGGACGCUGGAAUGCCCCCUGAUCGAAAGGUCCGCCGCCUGAGGAUGGGUCUGCGGCCGAUUAGGUUGUUGUUGGGGUAACGGCCCAACAAGCCUUUGAUCGGUACGGGUUGUGAGAGCAAGAGCCCGGAGAUGGAUUCUGAGACACAAAUCCAGGCCCUACGGGGCGCAGCAGGCGCGAAAACUUUACAAUGCGAGAAAUCGUGAUAAGGGAACCCCGAGUGCCCGUAAAUUCGGGCUGUCCAUCAGCGUAAAAAACUGGUGAAGAAAGGGCCGGGCAAGACCGGUGCCAGCCGCCGCGGUAAUACCGGCGGCUCGAGUGGUGGCCACUAUUACUGGGCUUAAAGCGUCCGUAGCUGGAUUGUUAAAGUCUCUUGGGAAAUCCGCCGGCUUAACCGGCGGGCGUUCAGGAGAAACUGGCAAUCUAGGGACC